GCCCACCUAGCUCAGUCGGUAGAGCACACCCUUGGUAAGGGUGAGGUCGCAGGUUCGAUUCCUGUGGUGGGCACCA
RNAcentral lists this transfer RNA (76 nucleotides) under Solimonas terrae. RNAcentral describes it as "tRNA-Thr". It matches the Rfam family "tRNA". From Rfam's summary of the family: Transfer RNA (tRNA) molecules are approximately 80 nucleotides in length. Their secondary structure includes four short double-helical elements and three loops (D, anti-codon, and T loops). The record is from RNAcentral. Lineage: Bacteria; Pseudomonadati; Pseudomonadota; Gammaproteobacteria; Nevskiales; Nevskiaceae. RNAcentral also lists the same sequence under 5 other names.